Molecule: ribosomal RNA, 256 nt
Filed under: uncultured archaeon
Lineage: Archaea
Description: partial 16S ribosomal RNA
Rfam family: Bacterial small subunit ribosomal RNA
Source: RNAcentral
UAAUACGGAGGAUGCAAGCGUUAUCCGGAAUUAUUGGGCGUAAAGCGUCCGUAGGUGGUUAUGCAAGUCUGCCGUUAAAGAAUGGAGCUUAACUCCAUAAGAGCGGUGGAAACUGCAAGACUAGAGUACAGUAGGGGUAGCAGGAAUUCCCAGUGUAGCGGUGAAAUGCGUAGAUAUUGGGAAGAACAUCGGUGGCGAAAGCGUGCUACUGGGCUGAAACUGACACUGAGGGACGAAAGCUAGGGUAGCGAAAGGG